RNAcentral lists this long non-coding RNA (1514 nucleotides) under Homo sapiens (human). RNAcentral describes it as "HSALNT0188554". Lineage: Eukaryota; Metazoa; Chordata; Mammalia; Primates; Hominidae. The record is from RNAcentral.
CAAGUGAGGAAUGGGGAAGGAGGGUGGAGGAAGGAGCUUGUAAAUGAGCAGCUGGUUUGCAGCAAAACCGCACCUCACUCUGCACCUUUGGAUCCCUCUCAGCCUGAGGUUAGCACAGCCAAUGUCCUCACCAGCGUCUGCCAAAGCCCAUGGAGAAGGCCAGCAGGAGCAUAUCACUGUGACUUACAACCCUUCUCUAGUCUGCUACAAUGGAAUCUUAAACAAGAAAAUUUUAUAUUUUGACUUGCAUCAUUGAGAAAAACACUGCCAACCUGAUCGUGGUUCCUUUGAAGAAUCACUGCAGCAGGUGCGAGAGAGGACUCAUGGAGCUUGCAGAUGAGCUAGCCCAGACCCUGAACUUGAUGGGUCAGCUGCCACCACGCAGAUGGAUAAAGUGGCUUAUCUGGUACUGUGGCCCCCACUCAGGAACUGACUCAGCGCAAAGAAGACAGCUUCAACUCCCUAUGAUUUCAUCUCCAAUGGGACCAAUCAUCACUCCCCAGUCCCUGGCCUCCUAUGCACCAAAUUAUCCUUAAAAAACCCCAGUCUCUUAAUUGUCAGUCUCUCCAAUCUCUGAAUUUCCAGAAAGAGUUUAAUUCAUGCAGAGGCAGCUGAACUGAUUUGAGUAUGAAUUAAACUCUUUCUCUAUUGCAAUUCCUCUGUCUUGAUGAAUCGGCUUUAUCUGGGCAGUGGGCACAAUGAAUCCUUGGGCGGUUACAAUAAAACUGAAAAUAGAUAAAAACUGUGUGUGGCAAGAUUUAGAUCUAUAAAUUUUGACCUUGGAAAAUAGAACUCCAUAAAAAUAAUGCCCCCAAAAUAAAACUCACAGUAGUAGAAGCUGUUAUAGUAAAAUUUGAAUUGAACAAAAGACUGUUAAAACAGGACUGUGUUGAUAAGUUACACAUAAAUGAAUUCAUCCGGAUCAAAAUAAUUUUAGUAUUUUUACUCAUGACAUUGUAUUCAUGUUUAUUUAUGACAACAUAAAUAGUAAUUUUAUUCACAUGACAAAAUUGGAAAUACUUUAAGUGUGCUAUGUAGAAAACUAAUCAAGGAAUUAAUUUGGGUUAAUGAAAUUAAUUGUUAAAAGUAAUUUCUUGUCAACAACUUUUGUUGCUGGUAUAAUUGUUACAUGCCAGGUUCUGGUCUGUUCUACCUUCAAGCAGUAAAUCAAUCACUAUGAUUCAGGUUUUGCAAAAGAGAAAAGAUUUAUUCGAAAGGACACCCAGCGAGGAGGCGGUGGGAGAACAGCUCUCAAAUCUGCCUCCCCAAAGAUAAAGCUUAAGGGUAUUUAUGGGUUAGGGAAGUGAGGUGGUCUAAGGUGUGGGGAAAGGUGGUUGCUAGUGGGGAAAAAUGAAGUAACAGGUUCAUUCUGCAACAGCCUAGCUGGAGUUUGUGGCAUUCCACAGCACAUAUGUACAGAAAAUGGCAGCAUUAGCAUGGACUGAGGAUGGAGUCUUUGGCCCUCCAACAUAAAAAGGCCGCCUCUCCAGCACUUGAGCAGACCCAGUUAAAAG